RNAcentral lists this non-coding RNA (99 nucleotides) under Alicyclobacillus acidocaldarius. RNAcentral describes it as "TPP sequence". It matches the Rfam family "TPP riboswitch aptamer (THI element)". From Rfam's summary of the family: Vitamin B(1) in its active form thiamin pyrophosphate (TPP) is an essential coenzyme that is synthesised by coupling of pyrimidine and thiazole moieties in bacteria. The previously detected thiamin-regulatory element, thi box was extended, resulting in a new, highly conserved RNA secondary structure, the THI element, which is widely distributed in eubacteria and also occurs in some archaea. Analysis of operon structures identified a large number of new candidate thiamin-regulated genes, mostly transporters, in various prokaryotic organisms. RNAcentral also lists the same sequence under 1 other name. Lineage: Bacteria; Bacillati; Bacillota; Bacilli; Caryophanales; Alicyclobacillaceae. The record is from RNAcentral.
GGAUGCCACUAGGGGAGCGAAAGCUGAGACGGGGGACACCCCGAACCCUUUGAACCUGACCUGGGUAAUGCCAGCGUAGGAAAGUGGCGCAUGGGACCC